CGCUGGCGCGAGGCACCGCCCGGCUACGGUCCGCACAAGACGAUCGACAACCGGUUCGUGCGCUGGAGCCGCCUCGGCGUGUUCAACAGCAUUUUCGCUGAGCUGGCGCGCAAGGCCGGCAACCCAUCCCGGCUGAUGAUCGAUGCCACCCAUCUGAAGGCGCAUCGCCCCGCCGCGAGCCUUUUAAAAAAGUUCCCCGACGUAUCGGGCGCACCAAGGGCGGCCUGAACUCGAAGCUGCACGCCGUGUGCGAUGGCCAGGGACGACCCGUCCUCAUGCUGCUCAGCGAAGGCCAAAUGAGCGACUACAAAGGCGCAGCCUUGAUGAUCGAUGCGCUGCCGCGCGCGAAGCAAUUGCUCGGCGACAAGGGCUAUGACGCUGACUGGUUCCGCCAGGCUCUCGCUGAACGCGGCAUCACCGCAUGCAUCCCAUCCAGGUCCAACCGCAAAAAGCCGAUCGAACAUGACCGCGAACUCUAUCGCCAGCGGCACAAGAUCGAAAACAUGUUCGGCAGGCUCAAGGAUUGGCGGCGCAUCCACACCCGCUACGACCGAUGCGCGCACACCUUCAUGUCCGCCAUCUGCAUCGCAGCCACCGUCAUCUUCUGGCUCUGAUCAAUGAGUCCCGAGCCUAGACGUUCUCGCAACGGAUCUAGUGAAUGCGCGCUGAUUCCUGCUCUGCAAGUUUUAGUCGUCCGUGAAGAACGUUGAUCUCAGGCUGGAUUGAUCGCCGUCUCCCCGAAGAGAGUGCUGAGGAUUCGGCACAACACAAGGCUGAGCCAGCGGAUCAGGCGGCGGAAGUUGUAGCCGACGGCGGCAAGG
Molecule: unclassified non-coding RNA, 821 nt
Filed under: Hevea brasiliensis (rubber tree)
Lineage: Eukaryota; Viridiplantae; Streptophyta; Magnoliopsida; Malpighiales; Euphorbiaceae
Source: RNAcentral